UUCUUAUCUAGAGAGGUAGAGGGACUGGCCCUUUGAAGCCUCGGCAACGGACUUUUAUAAGAACUGUGCCAAUUCCAGUAGCAUAACGCUAGAUGAUAAGAU
This 102-nucleotide non-coding RNA is filed under the name Sporosarcina newyorkensis. RNAcentral's name for it is "SAM-I sequence". It matches the Rfam family "SAM riboswitch aptamer (S box leader)". Rfam says of the family: The SAM riboswitch is found upstream of a number of genes which code for proteins involved in methionine or cysteine biosynthesis in Gram-positive bacteria. The SAM riboswitch acts at the level of transcription termination control. The predicted structure consists of a complex stem-loop region followed by a single stem loop terminator region. The record is from RNAcentral. Lineage: Bacteria; Bacillati; Bacillota; Bacilli; Caryophanales; Caryophanaceae.